Molecule: ribosomal RNA, 233 nt
Filed under: uncultured bacterium
Lineage: Bacteria
Description: partial 16S ribosomal RNA
Rfam family: Bacterial small subunit ribosomal RNA
Source: RNAcentral
CGGGACGGGUGAGUAAUGUCUGGGAAACUGCCCGAUGGAGGGGGAUAACUACUGGAAACGGUAGCUAAUACCGCAUAACGUCGCAAGACCAAAGAGGGGGACCUUCGGGCCUCUUGCCAUCGGAUGUGCCCAGAUGGGAUUAGCUAGUAGGUGGGGUAACGGCUCACCUAGGCGACGAUCCCUAGCUGGUCUGAGAGGAUGAUCAGCCACACUGGGACUGAGACACGGUCCAG